Strongylocentrotus purpuratus (purple sea urchin) is the source of this 121-nucleotide non-coding RNA. Lineage: Eukaryota; Metazoa; Echinodermata; Echinoidea; Camarodonta; Strongylocentrotidae. The record is from Rfam.
UGGCUGGCUAAGCAGUGUGGAUACUUCGUAUAGCAAAAAGGUAUUGCAAUUAACUUCCAUUUAAUGUUUGUGGGUUCGAUCCCCACUGCGUUUAUUUCUACACGCGCGAUCCAGCUGUUUU